Molecule: long non-coding RNA, 1830 nt
Organism: Equus asinus (donkey)
Lineage: Eukaryota; Metazoa; Chordata; Mammalia; Perissodactyla; Equidae
Source: Ensembl
CUUUAAUUGUUUGUUAGAAUUCGCCCAGUGAAGCCAUUUACUCCUGGGAUUUAUUUGUUGAGAGGUUUUAUGAUUACUGAUUGUAAUGGGAAAAAACGCAGUUUUCCUCUUUCCUAUGCUGGGAAAAAUACCAGCUUUUCCCUACUGUCUUUCUUUCCUGUGAGUCUCCUUUAUGACUCACAGAAAUCAUUUCACUUCUGGUCCCCAAAUGUGUGGAGGUUUCUCCCCACAAGAACAAGCAGUUCUCAGACAGCAGCAAGGUGUCCAAGAAUUCAACUCAGUUCUGACACUAUCUACCCAGGACAGCACCAGAUCACACAGGAUAUGAUAAAGGAUGCAGAUGAACAGCCAGAUGAAGAGAUGCAUGCGGCGAGGUCUGGGAUGAUCCUGAGUGCAGGAGCUUCUGUCCUCAAGGAGUUGGGGUGUGUCACCCCCCAUGUGGUUGUUCACCCACCUGGAAGUUCUCUGAACCCCCUAUUAUUGGGAUUUUAUGGAGGCUUCCUCAUACUAGCCCUGAGCAAACAGCCACCGCCAAUCCUGCUCUGUUUGCUGAGGAAGACUGGCCCUGAGCUAACAUCCAUGCCCAUCUUCCUCUGCUUUAUAUGUGGGACGCCUAUCACAGCAUGGCUUGAUGUGCGGUGCCAUGUCCCCACCUGGGAUCCGAACCAGUGAACCCCGGGCCACUGAGAAGCAGAACGUGGGCACUUAACCACUCUGCCACUGGCCUGCCCCAAUUGUUUUAUAAUCCAUUUUAUGUUAAUAAGAUCAGUAGUAAUAACCCCAUUUUCAUUUCUGAUUUUAGCAAUUUGAGUCUUAUUUUAUUCUAAGUCAUUCUUGCUGAAGACUUGUCAAUUUGAUUUUUUCAAAGAACCAUUUUUUGUUUUCAUUAAUUCUCUUUAUUUCUUUAUUCUCCUUCAUUUAUCUCUGCUAUAAUGUUUACUGUUUCCUUUCUUCUGCUAGUUUUGGAUUUAGUUUGCUCUUUUUUUCUAUUUCCUUGAGGUGUAAUGUUAGGUUAUUGAUUUGAUAUCUUUCUUAAUUUUAAUCAGGCUCUCACAGCUGUAAAUUCCCCUCUGAGCAGUGCUUUCACUGUCUCCCACAAAUUUUGCUAUGCUGUAUUGUUUUUUGUCCUCUUCAAAGUAUUUUCUAUUUUCCCUUGUGAUCACUCCUUUGACCCAUUGUGUGUUUAAGACUGUGUAGUUUAAUUCCAAAAUAUUUGUGAAUUUUCCAGUUUCCAUAUUUUCCUUCCAUUUUGCCUGAAGAAGAUACUUUGUAUUAUUUCAAUCUUUUAAAAUUUAUUUAGACUUGAUUUGUGGCCUAACAUAUGGUCUAUUCUGAAAAUGCACCAUGAGAACCUGUGAAAAAUGUGUAUUCUGUUGUUUUUGGAUUGAGUCUUCUAUAGCUGUCUGCUAGGACUUUGGUAUAUAUGUUUGUUCAAUCUUGUAUUCCCUUGCGAUAAUCUGUCUAGAUUUUCUAUUUUUAUAAGAAUUCUCAUUAUUGUGGAAUGUCUACUCCAUCCGAUUCUGCCAGUUUUUGCUACAUAUGUUUUGGUGCUCUGUAGUGAGAUAUGUAUAUGUGAAUGAUUAUUAUGUUUUCUUAGAUUGCCAUGUUUAUAGAUAUAUAAAAUCUUUCUUUAUGUCUUAUAACAAUUUUUGACUUAGAGUCUAUUUUGUCUAAUAUUAGGAUAGCCACUCCAGCUUUCUGUAGAUAAUUAUUUGUAUGGAAUAUCUUUUUUCCAUUCUUUCAUUUUCAAUGUUCUUGUGUCUUUGGACCUAAAGUGAGCCUCUUGUAGACAGCAUGUAGUUAGAUCAUGUUUUCUAAUCUGUUGUGCCA